RNAcentral lists this ribosomal RNA (321 nucleotides) under Streptomyces violaceusniger. RNAcentral describes it as "bacterial LSU rRNA". It matches the Rfam family "Bacterial large subunit ribosomal RNA", at positions 227 to 502 of the family's 2925-position model. The record is from RNAcentral. Lineage: Bacteria; Bacillati; Actinomycetota; Actinomycetes; Kitasatosporales; Streptomycetaceae.
AACCGUGAUUCCGGGAGUAGUGGCGAGCGAAACUGGAUGAGGCUAAACCGUAUGUGUGUGAUACCCGGCAGGGGUUGCGCGUACGGGGUUGUGGGAGUGCUCUUGAUCGGUCUGCCGGCCGGUCGGUGAGUCAGAAAUUGUUGAUGUAGGCGAAGGGCAUGCGAAAGGCCCGGCGUAGAGGGUAAGACCCCCGUAGCUGAAAUGUCAGCAACUUGCUUGAGUAUUUCCCAAGUAGCACGGGGCCCGAGAAAUCCCGUGUGAAUCUGGCGGGACCACCCGCUAAGCCUAAAUAUUCCCUGGUGACCGAUAGCGGAUAGUACC